Long non-coding RNA from Ceratosolen solmsi marchali, 241 nucleotides. RefSeq lists it as uncharacterized. The record is from RefSeq and is a predicted model, not a curated record. Lineage: Eukaryota; Metazoa; Arthropoda; Insecta; Hymenoptera; Agaonidae. The transcript has 3 exons.
GCAAUAUUAGUUCAUUGUAUGUAUAAAUAAUUUAUUUAUAAUUUAUAAAAACAUAUUGACUAAUUCUUAUUACUGUACUUAACAGCGGCUAAGACAAUUAAAAAAACAGACUGCUAUACGCUUUGCAAGGACUUUCCUAUUACCUUUCACCAAAGGUGCCGCCAACAUUGUGACAGAUCAUUCGCUGGACAAAAUUCUGUUGUAGUUACUUCAAUAGAAGAUUGCCAAGACAGAUGCAAUG